GACGAACGCUGGCGGCGUGCUUAAUACAUGCAAGUCAACUGAACUUUAGGUAGCAAUAUUUAAAGGGAGGUGGCGCACGGGUGAGUAACACGUAGGUAAUCUGCCUUCAGGACUGACAUAAUUCCGCGAAAGCGGGACUAAAAUCAGAUGAUGCAGCGGCUCGACAUCGAGACAGUUGUUAAACCUUCGGGGCCUGAAGAUGAGCCUGCGUCUGAUUAGGUAGUUGGCGGGGUAAAAGCCCACCAAGCCUGCGAUCAGUAGCUGGUCUGAGAGGAUGAUCAGCCACACUGGAACUGAGACACGGUCCAGACUCCUACGGGAGCAGCAGUAAGGAAUAUUGCUCAAUGGCCGAAAGGCUGAAGCAGCAACGCCGCGUGGAGGAUGAAAUACUUUAGUAUGUAAACUCCUGUAAGAGGGGAAAAAUAUACAGCUAUGCUGUGUUGAUUGUACCUCAGAGUAAGCACCGGCU
RNAcentral lists this ribosomal RNA (469 nucleotides) under uncultured bacterium. RNAcentral describes it as "bacterial SSU rRNA". It matches the Rfam family "Bacterial small subunit ribosomal RNA", at positions 28 to 498 of the family's 1533-position model. The record is from RNAcentral.